AUUGAACGCUGGCGGCAGGCUUAACACAUGCAAGUCGAGCGGAGUGAUGGUGCUUGCACUAUCACUUAGCGGCGGACGGGUGAGUAAUGCUUAGGAAUCUGCCUAUUAGUGGGGGACAACAUCUCGAAAGGGAUGCUAAUACCGCAUACGUCCUACGGGAGAAAGCAGGGGAUCACUUGUGACCUUGCGCUAAUAGAUGAGCCUAGGUCGGAUUAGCUAGUUGGUGGGGUAAAGGCCUACCAAGGCGACGAGUUGUAACGGGUCUGAGAGGAUGAUCCGCCACACUGGGACUGAGACACGGCCCAGACUCCUACGGGAGGCAGCAGUGGGGAAUAUUGGACAAUGGGGGGAACCCUGAUCCAGCCAUGCCGCGUGUGUGAAGAAGGCCUUAUGGUUGUAAAGCACUUUAAGCGAGGAGGAGGCUCUUUUGGUUAAUACCCAAGAUGAGUGGACGUUACUCGCAGAAUAAGCACCGGCUAACUCUGUGCCAGCCGCCGCGGUAA
This 503-nucleotide ribosomal RNA is filed under the name uncultured bacterium. Its description in RNAcentral is "partial 16S ribosomal RNA". It matches the Rfam family "Bacterial small subunit ribosomal RNA", at positions 30 to 523 of the family's 1533-position model. The record is from RNAcentral.